RNAcentral lists this ribosomal RNA (466 nucleotides) under uncultured bacterium. RNAcentral's name for it is "partial 16S ribosomal RNA". It matches the Rfam family "Bacterial small subunit ribosomal RNA", at positions 28 to 507 of the family's 1533-position model. The record is from RNAcentral.
GACGAACGCUGGCGGCGCGCCUAACACAUGCAAGUCGAACGAGCGAGAGAGAGCUUGCUUUCUCGAGCGAGUGGCGAACGGGUGAGUAACGCGUGAGGAACCUGCCUCAAAGAGGGGGACAACAGUUGGAAACGACUGCUAAUACCGCAUAAGCCCACGGUGCCGCAUGGCACAGAGGGAAAAGGAGCAAUCCGCUUUGAGAUGGCCUCGCGUCCGAUUAGCUAGUUGGUGAGGUAAUGGCCCACCAAGGCGACGAUCGGUAGCCGGACUGAGAGGUUGAACGGCCACAUUGGGACUGAGACACGGCCCAGACUCCUACGGGAAGCAGCAGUGGGGAAUAUUGCACAAUGGGGGAAACCCUGAUGUAGCGACGCCGCGUGGAGGAAGAAGGUCUUCGGAUUGUAAACUCCUGUUGUUGGGGAAGAUAAUGACGGUACCCAACAAGGAAGUGACGGCUAACUACGUG